CCCUUCGACGUCUGGGGCCGCACGCGUGCUACAGUGGUGGUGGUAACGCGCGUUCCGUGCUCGUAAGGUGUUCGGGAAUCGUCAAGCUCCCCCAUGCCGGGGAUCGCGGCUUGCAAUUGUGCCUCGUGAACCAGGAAUGCCUAGUAGUCGCGGGUCAUGACCUCGCGUCGACUGCGUCCCUGCCCUUUGUACACACCGCCCGUCGCUCCUACCGAUUGAAUGUUCCGGUGAGCUCUUCGGACUGCGCGGUCUGCAGUUUCUGCGUUCCGUGCGGAAAGUUGCGCAAACCUUAACAUUUAGAGGAAGGAGAAGUCGUAACA
This 320-nucleotide ribosomal RNA is filed under the name uncultured eukaryote. RNAcentral describes it as "partial 18S ribosomal RNA". It matches the Rfam family "Eukaryotic small subunit ribosomal RNA", at positions 1470 to 1796 of the family's 1831-position model. The record is from RNAcentral.